This 24-nucleotide non-coding RNA is filed under the name Arabidopsis thaliana (thale cress). The record is from RNAcentral. Lineage: Eukaryota; Viridiplantae; Streptophyta; Magnoliopsida; Brassicales; Brassicaceae.
AUGUGGUGUUACCAAUCGGAACCU